AUCACUUCUCAGCCUUUUGGCUAAGAUCAAGUGUAGAAUUUCUAUGGAUGUAAUGAUUCUGUACCUAUUUCUUUCAUUUUUUCAUGUUACUUUAU
Molecule: small nuclear RNA, 95 nt
Gene: U2
Rfam family: U2 spliceosomal RNA
About the family: U2 is a small nuclear RNA (snRNA) component of the spliceosome (involved in pre-mRNA splicing). Complementary binding between U2 snRNA (in an area lying towards the 5' end but 3' to hairpin I) and the branchpoint sequence (BPS) of the intron results the bulging out of an unpaired adenosine, on the BPS, which initiates a nucleophilic attack at the intronic 5' splice site, thus starting the first of two transesterification reactions that mediate splicing.
Source: Ensembl